AUAAGCUGUACAGUGGUGAACCGUGACCCUAAAACAAAGCAAUGUACAUUUAAACCAGCUAAAUUAAAUUUACAUUUACCAGCUAUUAACCAACAAGCAUUACCUACAAGAUAAACUAUUUUGACGUUUAGUUGCUUAAGGUCAAGUUCACAGCCUUUUACAAAAGGUCGAUAAAGAAUUGUCUUCGAAAAAAAAAAGAUGUGUAUUACAUUGUCACAUCAUGUAGGGCGACGUUGAAAUGAUAAUCAGUUGAGGACCGAAGAAAGCGCCAAACUGUGCAGCGACGCGCGAUGGAACGUUUGCUUUUAUUCUUUCUUGUUCAUCAUGUGAAGUUAUUGCUCGUCCAUAUAGAUAGGAUCACGGCCUGUAACCACAAGUUUCAGAUUUGAGAACGUAAAUGAGUUGUACGUCUUUUUAACUUGGCCGAAUCCUCGCAAAACAGAAAACCUCCCAAGAUACAUGAAAUAGCAGGCCAUGCAGAUGAUGCUCAGAUACAAUAUUGCCACAGCUAGAAGAAAAUAUCGGCAUCCAUAUUUGCUGCAGUGAGCUUCCUCAUUUCCGAUAGACUCAUCAUCAUCUACUUCGUCAUUAACCUCUUCCGUCUCCUCUUCUACUGUCACUGUUUCAUCAUAUUCUUCCAUCACAUGUUUUGCAGAAUCAUCUAGGUCGGCCAUACUUUGAAAACAAACAACUUCAGUAUGUGCGAGAAAGCUGUUUAUACGAAGCCAUGUCUGUACAUGAUCCCUAUAUACAGGGCACACGUCCUAUCUUAGAUGCCAAAUGCAAGCUGGUUCCAAUGCAGUUUCGCAAGAAUACAUACGUAUUGUGCGUAACCGAAUUAAUGACUUACUCAUACUGCCGAAACGUUUCUUUUUAUGAACAUAGUUCAUAUGAAGUGACCGGACUACCAUCGUACUUCGAACAUACGAUGGCCGGCAUUCGUGCCGGACGGUUAUCAGGCCGGCAUCAGUGAUCAAAUUCUCACGACAUUCGACGUGUUCUCCACACAACGUUUUCUCUUAGUUCCACCGUGUAAAAUUAUCUUAAGCAAAUUGAAAUGUUGGAGUCACAUUGUUUAAGAAUAGUAUGUUUCACAGAAACAAGUCUUCUAAAAACUCUUCAAAUUCUUCGUCACGGGAUUUUUCCUCAGUUGACUGUUGGCCCUCUCGCCAAACAUCUGUGCUGUCACUGAGUUCUUGAUUUUUGCUGGAAGGAAUGGAGGUCUCUCCACCGUCAAUCAUGUCACUUCUACUGGUUUCUGGAGUCACCUUCUCAGACCUUGGUUCCCCGCCACUCUUUCUCCGGUCACCUGGUGACAUUUUGCUUUUCAUUUCUUUCUUGCUCUUCUUCUUUUUCGUCACUUCUUUCCUUUUGUGAUGAAAGUUAAGUUUAUGCGAACAAUCGCUGCACAAACCUUUAAUGAUCGACCAGAUUAAUCAAUGAAGGAUUCUCGAAUGAAUUGAAACUAGGGAUCGGCCCUGAUUACCCGAGAACAAGCUUACUACCGGAAGGUACUGGCGCUAAGCUGAAAAAAGCACAUUUUACCUUCUGGUAGUAAGGUGGGUCUCAGGUAAUCGCGGCCGAUCUCUACUUGAAACAACACUCACGGAUUUUGACUAAGGAGUUCUUUCUCAAUUCAUGCUCUACAUAAGCAAAGUUAAUCUCCCAGGUUUUCAAAUUUUCUUUUUCCGUGCAAUUUUGUUCUCCGCAACUGAACUGUCCUUUACCUGUUACAACUUCUUUUUCUAUUCUCCACCGAAUGCCAACCUAAAUAGCAAUAAAAAUUUUUACUUUUCGUAAUAAAUUAUUUUUUUUCUCUUAA
This 1822-nucleotide long non-coding RNA is filed under the name Daphnia magna. Its description in RNAcentral is "uncharacterized LOC123474388". The record is from RNAcentral. Lineage: Eukaryota; Metazoa; Arthropoda; Branchiopoda; Diplostraca; Daphniidae.